GGCUACCACUUUUAAGGAAGGCAGCAGGCGCGCAAAUUACCCAAUCCCGACACGGGGAGGUAGUGACAAUAAAUACUGAUACAGGGCUCUUAUGGGUCUUGUAAUCGGAAUGAGUACAAUUUAAAUCCCUUAACGAGGAACAAUUGGAGGGCAAGUCUGGUGCCAGCAGCCGCGGUAAUUCCAGCUCCAAUAGCGUAUAUUAAAGUUGUUGUGGUUAAAAAGCUCGUAGUUGAACCUUGGGCCUGGCUGGCCGGUCCCCCUCACCGGGUGCACUGGUUCCGGCCGGGUCUUUCCCUCUGUGGAACCGCAUGCCCUUCACUGGGUGUGUCGGGGAAACAGGACUUUUACUUUGAAAAAAUUAGAGUGCUCCAGGCAGGCCUAUGCUCGAAUCGUACAGCAUGGAAUAAUAGAAUAGGACGUGUGGUUCUAUUUUGUUGGUUUCUAGGACCGCCGUAAUGAUUAAUAGGGACAGUCGGGGGCAUCAGU
This 486-nucleotide ribosomal RNA is filed under the name Ceratocystis fimbriata. RNAcentral's name for it is "SSU rRNA". It matches the Rfam family "Eukaryotic small subunit ribosomal RNA", at positions 405 to 895 of the family's 1831-position model. Lineage: Eukaryota; Fungi; Ascomycota; Sordariomycetes; Microascales; Ceratocystidaceae. The record is from RNAcentral.